GGUUAAGCGACUAAGCGUACACGGUGGAUGCCCUGGCAGUCAGAGGCGAUGAAGGACGUGCUAAUCUGCGAAAAGCGUCGGUAAGGUGAUAUGAACCG
This 98-nucleotide ribosomal RNA is filed under the name Pseudomonas aeruginosa. Its description in RNAcentral is "partial 23S ribosomal RNA". It matches the Rfam family "Bacterial large subunit ribosomal RNA", at positions 1 to 98 of the family's 2925-position model. The record is from RNAcentral. RNAcentral also lists the same sequence under 5 other names. Lineage: Bacteria; Pseudomonadati; Pseudomonadota; Gammaproteobacteria; Pseudomonadales; Pseudomonadaceae.